UCAAUUCAAAAUAUCAAAAAAAAUCAUCAAAAAAUAUAUAAUUCAAUUAAUAAUGAUUUAAUUACUAAUUAAAUAAAGAAAAUAAAACGGAAAUUAUCAAAGAGGGGUCAAAGCAUCAGACAAAAGUCCAACAAAAAUGUGAGAGGUCAACAAAAACAAGAGUGAAUGGACCUCAAAAGUUGGGGUUAAAAAUAUUUAAAAAUGAAAAAAGCAAACUAAAUG
RNAcentral lists this long non-coding RNA (222 nucleotides) under Lathyrus oleraceus (garden pea). RNAcentral's name for it is "Pisum sativum (pea) long non-coding RNA (PSAT_LNC010657)". The record is from RNAcentral. Lineage: Eukaryota; Viridiplantae; Streptophyta; Magnoliopsida; Fabales; Fabaceae.